This 73-nucleotide transfer RNA is filed under the name Danio rerio (zebrafish). It matches the Rfam family "tRNA". From Rfam's summary of the family: Transfer RNA (tRNA) molecules are approximately 80 nucleotides in length. Their secondary structure includes four short double-helical elements and three loops (D, anti-codon, and T loops). Further hydrogen bonds mediate the characteristic L-shaped molecular structure. tRNAs have two regions of fundamental functional importance: the anti-codon, which is responsible for specific mRNA codon recognition, and the 3' end, to which the tRNAs corresponding amino acid is attached (by aminoacyl-tRNA synthetases). tRNAs cope with the degeneracy of the genetic code in two manners: having more than one tRNA (with a specific anti-codon) for a particular amino acid; and 'wobble' base-pairing, i.e. permitting non-standard base-pairing at the 3rd anti-codon position. Lineage: Eukaryota; Metazoa; Chordata; Actinopteri; Cypriniformes; Danionidae. The record is from Rfam by way of RNAcentral.
GCCUGGCUAGCUCAGUCGGUACAGCAUGAGACUCUUAAUGUCAGGGUUGUGGGUUCGAGCCCCACAUUGGGCG